GAUGAACGCUGGCGGCGUGCUUAACACAUGCAAGUCGAACGAUGAAGCCCAGCUUGCUGGGUGGAUUAGUGGCGAACGGGUGAGUAACACGUGAGUAACCUGCCCUUAACUCUGGGAUAAGCCUGGGAAACUGGGUCUAAUACCGGAUAGGAGCGUCCACCGCAUGGUGGGUGGUGGAAAGAUUUAUCGGUUUUGGAUGGACUCGCGGCCUAUCAGCUUGUUGGUGAGGUAAUGGCUCACCAAGGCGACGACGGGUAGCCGGCCUGAGAGGGUGACCGGCCACACUGGGACUGAGACACGGCCCAGACUCCUACGGGAGGCAGCAGUGGGGAAUAUUGCACAAUGGGCGCAAGCCUGAUGCAGCGACGCCGCGUGAGGGAUGACGGCCUUCGGGUUGUAAACCUCUUUCAGUAGGGAAGAAGCGAAAGUGACGGUACCUGCAGAAGAAGCACCGGCUAACUACGUG
This 466-nucleotide ribosomal RNA is filed under the name uncultured bacterium. RNAcentral's name for it is "partial 16S ribosomal RNA". It matches the Rfam family "Bacterial small subunit ribosomal RNA", at positions 28 to 507 of the family's 1533-position model. The record is from RNAcentral.